Molecule: ribosomal RNA, 400 nt
Filed under: uncultured bacterium
Lineage: Bacteria
Description: bacterial SSU rRNA
Rfam family: Bacterial small subunit ribosomal RNA
Source: RNAcentral
GACGAACGCUGGCGGCGUGCCUAAUACAUGCAAGUCGAGCGGACCAAAGGGAGCUUGCUCCUGGAGGUUAGCGGCGAGCGGGUGAGUAACACGUGGGCAACCUGCCUGUAAGACUGGGAUAACAUCGAGAAAUCGGUGCUAAUACCGGAUAAUAAAAAGAACUGCAUGGUUCUUUUUUGAAAGAUGGUUUCGGCUAUCACUUACAGAUGGGCCCGCGGCGCAUUAGCUAGUUGGUGGGGUAACGGCUCACCAAGGCGACGAUGCGUAGCCGACCUGAGAGGGUGAUCGGCCACACUGGGACUGAGACACGGCCCAGACUCCUACGGGAGGCAGCAGUAGGGAAUCUUCCGCAAUGGACGAAAGCCUGACGCAGCGACGCCGCGUGGGCGAAGAAGGCCUC